RNAcentral lists this ribosomal RNA (784 nucleotides) under uncultured bacterium. Its description in RNAcentral is "bacterial SSU rRNA". It matches the Rfam family "Bacterial small subunit ribosomal RNA", at positions 8 to 796 of the family's 1533-position model. The record is from RNAcentral.
AGAGUUUGAUCAUGGCUCAGAACGAACGCUGGCGGNNNUAACACAUGCAAGUCGCGUGNNCAGUUUCCGUAGCAAUACGGGGAUGGGCGCACGGGCACGGGUGCGUAACACGUGGGCAAUCUGCCCUCCGAUGGGGAAUACCCCCGCGAAAGCGGGACUAAUUCCGCAUAACAUUCCUUGGAUUAACUUUCGAGGAUUCAAAGCAGCAAUGCGUCGGAGGAGGAGCCCGCGCCCGAUUAGCUAGUUGGUGAGGUAACGGCUCACCAAGGCAAUGAUCGGUAGCUGGUUGAGAGGAUGCCAGCCACACUGGAAUGAGACACGGUCCAGACUCCUACGGGAGGCAGCAGUGGGGAAUCUUGCACAAUGGGCGAAAGCCUGAUGCAGCGACGCCGCGUGGGGGAUGAAGCUUUUCGGAGUGUAAACCCCUUUCGACUGGGACGAAUGCCUCGCAAGAGGAGUGACGGUACCAGUAUAAGAAGCCCCGGCUAACUACGUGCCAGCAGCCGCGGUAAGACGUAGGGGGCCAGCGUUGUUCGGAAUUACUGGGUGUAAAGGGUUCGUAGGCGGUGUGGCAAGUCGGGAGUGAAAUCUCUGGGCUCAACCCAGAGACUGCUUCCGAAACUGCUGUGCUUGAGUGUGAGAGAGGCUCGUGGAAUGCAGGUGUAGCGGUGAAAUGCGUAGAUAUCUGCAGGAACACCCGUGGCGAAAGCGGCGAGCUGGAUCACUACUGACGCUGAGGAACGAAAGCUAGGGGGGCAAACAGGAUUAGAUACCCUAGUAGUCC